GUGAAGACUGCCGCCUUCUCCUGCCUGCCAUCUGCCCCAUAUGGUGGGGUGUCGCUCCAGGACUUUGCUUCAGACAGAGAGCUGCAUAGUGAAUCAAUGCACAAUAUUAAGACAGUGGAAUCAACACUGCAGGAGAACAGAAAUAGUUUUGAAUUCUCUCCCAAUUGCUCAUUCACAGUCCAGACUCUGAACUUAUGAUUGAGUCACAGGAAGAGAGUGCUGAACUCAGAAGUGGUGGGCAUCAGAGGCUAUGGUCUUCCCUGCAGUGUUGAAGAAAACAAAGGGCAUUUCAACAUAUCUCAUUAAUAAGGGAUUGGAACAGGAGAGGAAGAUCGUGGCAGGUUCCACUCUAAUAGCCAGCCAAAUGCACAGCCAUUAGAUGGUUGGAAACUGGAUUCAUGAGUCACCACGUGGAGGAGAACCUCCUGACCAGGACUCUGCAUGAGAGAGGAAUAAACGUUGAUUGGUUUACACUUCAUUAGCUGGAGCUAUUCCUAUGGCCAGACCUACUUCAAGACAGCUGGGAAGUCAGCCUCCCAUGAGUCAAAGAAGGAGAGGAGAACCAGUUAUGGGAUGGAGAGGAGAUGAAGAUGGUGGAGCAACAGGACAUGGAACUCACCUCCCCCCAUGAACAAAUCAAAAAUACAUCUACAUGUGGAAUAGUUCUCACUACAAACUAACUGAAAACUGGCAGAAAGAUUCCUAUACAACCAAGGCUGAAAGAAAGAUCCACAUGGAAUCAGAAAGAGAAGAGAAGCAAUCAGGUUGGGACCUGUGCCCCAGAGAGUGGACUCACUCAGAGGAAAGGGGAGAUUACACAGGUGGACACCCUCCCUGGGAAGUGAGUGGUUCAAGUCACAUACUGGGCACCCCUGCCCUGGGAUACAACACAGGGAAGACGAGCCACCUUGGCUGCUUGGAGGGCCAGUGGGACUAACAGGAGGGCUCUGGGAAGUCUGGACUCUGCUCAGGAACAAGCACAUGUGUGCAUGCUUCUCCUGAAGCAAGAUAGAGAGGGCAGAUUGAAACCAUGGGGGCAGCUCACUUGUUACCCACAACUGCACCAGCGCACACCAAAGCAUAAGCCAAGCGAACACUCUGGCCCCAUGUACUUCAUGUCACAGCUCCAUGCUGGAGUGAGCACUGCCAUGAAUGAGGAAAGAACUCAGUUAUGAAAUACAGCAGUGACUCAGACCUGAAACACCAUCUGAGGAGAGUGGGGGCAGCCAUUACUGCUGAAAGAGGAGAAAUAACAACCAAUACCACAGAGAAUCGAAAAAUCCUAAGAGAAUACUAUGACCAGUUAUAUAUGCCAACAACCUGGAAGAAACGGACAAAUUUCUAGAAACGUACAACCUGCCAAGACUGAAUUAGGAAAGAACAGACAAUCUGAACGACAGAUCACUAGUAGUGAAACUGAAUUUGUAAUUAAAAAAAAAAAAAAUACUGCCAGCAAACGAAAGUUCAGGAUGGGAUGGCUUCACAGGGGAAUUCUACCAAACAUACAAAGAAUAGCUAAUACGUGUCCUUCACAAACUAUUCUAGAAAAUUAAAGAGAAUGGAACACUCCCAAAUUCAUAUUAUGAGGCCACCAUUACCUUGACGUCAAAACCAGACAAAGACACUACAAAAAAAGACAAUUGCAGGCCUGCAUUUCUGAUGAAUAUAGAUGCAAAAAUCCUCAACAAAAUAUUAGUAAAUUGAAUUCAAUAAUAUAUAUAAAGGAUCAUACACCAUGAUCAAGUGGGAUUUAUUUCAGGGAUGCAAGGACCAUUCAAUAUUGCACAUCAAUCAAUGUGAAACACUACAUUAACAAAAAUAUCACAAGGUCAUGUUGAUACACACAGAAAAAGCAUUUGACAAAAUUCAAGAUCCAUUCAUGAUAAAAACUCUCAUCAAAGUUGGCACUGAUGGAACAUAUAAACGUAAUAAAAAGCCCAUUUAUGAUAAAUCCACAGGUAACAUCCUAUUCAACAAUGAAAAGCUAAAAGCUUUUCCUCUAAAAUCAGGAAAAAGACAGGAUGCCCACUCUCGCUACGCUACUUCUAUUUAACAUAGUGUUGGAAGUCCUAGCCACAGCAGUCAGACAAGGAAAAGAAAUAAAAGCAUCCAAAGUGGAAGGAAAGAAGUAAAACUGUUACUAUUUGCAAAUGACAUUAUACUAUAUACAUAUAACCCUAAAUUCUCCAUCAAAAAUUAUUAGAAUAAAUGAAUUCAGUAAGUUUCAGGAUACAAGAUUUAUACAGACAUCUGUUGCUUUUCUAAGACUAAAAAUGAACUAUCAGAAAGAAAAAGCAAAAAAAUACAAAACCAAAAACCCAAUCUGGUUUAAAAUUGCAUCAAAAAGAAUAAAAUACCUAGGAAUAAACUUUAACCAAGGAGGUGGAAGACCUAUACUCCGAGAACUAUUAAACAAUGAUGAAGGAAUUUGAAAAUGAUAAAAAAAAAAAGGAAAGCUGUCUCAUGCUCUUGGAUUAGAAGAAUUAGUAUUGUUAAAAAGCACUCUACAUAGUUAAUGCAAUCUCUAUCUCUAAAAUACCUCUAAAAUACUACCAUACGACCGAGCAAUCCCACUACUGGGCAUAUACCCUGAGAAAACCAUAGUUCAAAAAGAGUCAUGUACCAAAAUGUUCACUGCAGCUCUAUUUACAAUAGCCAGGACACGGAAGCAACCUAAGUGUCCAUCAUCGGAUGAAUGGAUAAAGAAGAUGUGGCACAUAUAUACAAUGGAAUAUUACUCAGCCAUAAAAAGAAAUGAAAUGGAGGUAUUUGUAAUGAGGUGGAUGGAGUUAGAGUCUGUCAUACAGAGUGAAGUAAGUCAGAAAGAGAAAAACAAAUACAGUAUGCUAACACAUAUAUAUGGAAUCUAAGGAAGAAAAAAAAAGGCCAUGAAGAACCUAGUGGCAGGACAGGAAUAAAGACACAGACCUACUAGAGAAUGGACUUGAGGCUAUGGGGAGGGGGAGGGGUGAGAUGUGACAGGGUGAGAGAGUGUCAUGGACAUAUAUACACUACCAAAUGUAAAAUAGCUAGUGGGAAGCAGCCA
Molecule: long non-coding RNA, 3046 nt
Organism: Balaenoptera acutorostrata (minke whale)
Lineage: Eukaryota; Metazoa; Chordata; Mammalia; Artiodactyla; Balaenopteridae
Exons: 6
Source: RefSeq, a predicted model, not a curated record